Molecule: ribosomal RNA, 253 nt
Filed under: uncultured bacterium
Lineage: Bacteria
Description: partial 16S ribosomal RNA
Rfam family: Bacterial small subunit ribosomal RNA
Source: RNAcentral
UACGUAGGUGGCGAGCGUUGUCCGGAUUUACUGGGCGUAAAGAGCGCGCAGGCGGUCGUUCAAGUCGCGUGUGAAAGCCCCCGGCUCAACUGGGGAGGGUCACGCGAUACUGAUCGACUCGAAGGCAGGAGAGGGAAGUGGAAUUCCCGGUGUAGUGGUGAAAUGCGUAGAUAUCGGGAGGAACACCAGUGGCGAAGGCGACUUCCUGGCCUGUUCUUGACGCUGAGGCGCGAAAGCUAGGGGAGCAAACGGA